AGCGAACGCUGGCGGCAGGCCUAACACAUGCAAGUCGAACGAACUCUUCGGAGUUAGUGGCGGACGGGAGAGUAACACGUGGGAACGUGCCUUUUGGUUCGGAAUAACUCAGGGAAACUUGUGCUAAUACCGAAUGUGCCCUUCGGGGGAAAGAUUUAUCGCCAUUAGAGCGGCCCGCGUCUGAUUAGCUAGUUGGUGAGGUAACGGCUCACCAAGGCGACGAUCAGUAGCUGGUCUGAGAGGAUGACCAGCCACACUGGGACUGAGACACGGCCCAGACUCCUACGGGAGGCAGCAGUGGGGAAUCUUGCGCAAUGGGCGAAAGCCUGACGCAGCCAUGCCGCGUGAAUGAUGAAGGUCUUAGGAUUGUAAAAUUCUUUCACCGGGGACGAUAAUGACGGUACCCGGAGAAGAAGCCCCGGCUAACUUCGUG
This 433-nucleotide ribosomal RNA is filed under the name uncultured bacterium. RNAcentral's name for it is "partial 16S ribosomal RNA". It matches the Rfam family "Bacterial small subunit ribosomal RNA", at positions 29 to 507 of the family's 1533-position model. The record is from RNAcentral.